This 408-nucleotide ribosomal RNA is filed under the name uncultured bacterium. Its description in RNAcentral is "partial 16S ribosomal RNA". It matches the Rfam family "Bacterial small subunit ribosomal RNA", at positions 28 to 526 of the family's 1533-position model. The record is from RNAcentral.
GACGAACGCUGGCGGCGUGCUUAACACAUGCAAGUCGAACGAAGUGGCGAACGGGUGAGUAACGCGUAAUCAACCUGCCCUUCAGAGGGGGACAACAGUUGGAAACGACUGCUAAUACCGCAUACUGAAGGCGGGGAUUGCGUCUGAAUAGCUAGUUGGGGGGGUAACGUCCCACCAAUGCGAUGAUCAGUAGCCGGACUGAGGAGAUGAACGGCCACAUUGGUAAUGAGACACGGCCCAAACUCCUACGGGAAGCAGCAGUGGGGAAUCUUCCGCAAUGGACGAAAGUCUGACGGAGCAACGCCGCGUGAGUGAUGACGGCCUUCGGGUUGUAUAGCUCUGUUUAUCGGGACGCGGUACCGGAAUAGAAAGCCACGGCUAACUACGUGCCAGCAGCCGCGGUAAUUC